AACGCUGGCGGCAGGCUUAACACAUGCAAGUCGAGCGGUAGCACAGGGGAGCUUGCUCCCUGGGUGACGAGCGGCGGACGGGUGAGUAAUGUCUGGGAAACUGCCUGAUGGAGGGGGAUAACUACUGGAAACGGUAGCUAAUACCGCAUAACGUCGCAAGACCAAAGAGGGGGACCUUCGGGCCUCUUGCCAUCAGAUGUGCCCAGAUGGGAUUAGCUAGUAGGUGGGGUAAUGGCUCACCUAGGCGACGAUCCCUAGCUGGUCUGAGAGGAUGACCAGCCACACUGGAACUGAGACACGGUCCAGACUCCUACGGGAGGCAGCAGUGGGGAAUAUUGCACAAUGGGCGCAAGCCUGAUGCAGCCAUGCCGCGUGUGUGAAGAAGGCCUUCGGGUUGUAAAGCACUUUCAGCGAGGAGGAAGGUGGUGAGCUUAAUACGCUCAUCA
This 446-nucleotide ribosomal RNA is filed under the name uncultured bacterium. Its description in RNAcentral is "bacterial SSU rRNA". It matches the Rfam family "Bacterial small subunit ribosomal RNA", at positions 32 to 474 of the family's 1533-position model. The record is from RNAcentral.